GCUACGACGAUAUAGGAAGAGGGAGACAAGACGGGGAUGACAUAUAUAUUGUGUGUUCAAAUGUGAGGAUUAUGGCGAAUUCAUAUAGGAUUAGUAGGCAUGAGGAACUUAAUUAUAUCAGCAUUUCAUUGUUAGAGUAGAGAAAUCUUUCAUGACGACGCAAGUGGGAUCGAUAUCGCUGGUAAGAUGGGAAGAGAAUGCUCAGCACGGUGGAAAAUACUCACCAGUGUGAUCAACCUACUUUCGUACAUACAACAGGGGAUCGGAAGCAAUGGUCAGCAUGGUAUUUUGUAACUCUUUCACUACCAGAAAGAGAGAAUUCGUAAGAGUUGAAAACCAUCAUGAAAAUGCAAAAAGUCGUCACAAAAAUGAUCAGUGGCGGAUGACUGUCAGACAAAAAACUUGGCAAAUUGAACGCCACAGGAGCACCAUUUAUGUGAUGGUUGACCGCCAGGAACAUUUUUCUUGGCGAUAGUUUGUGAGUGCUACCUUCACAAUAAUUCGGACAUCGUCAGGUUUUCAGAAUCCUAUUCGUGGAAGCUGAACUUCAAGGGGAAAACGUCACAAAAAGUUAUUAUUCCUGGCAGUCGUCUACAACCCACACGAAAAUUUAUAUUAAAAUUAGCAGGUGUUCAGAAUCUCAUUUUCGAGGAAACAAGUAGUUUCAUUAGGUUGGAAGGUCUUCUUUUUUAAGGUAAAUUAGACGGUGUUUUGCGCAUUGGGAUCUUUUGCGUGCAGCCGACUUGGUCUCCUGAAGUUCCUAUUCGAAGCUAUUAGCCACCUGGCUGACCAGUAUUGUAAUCUCUAUUGUUUUAUCCCCG
This 821-nucleotide long non-coding RNA is filed under the name Setaria viridis. RNAcentral's name for it is "long non-coding RNA (SVIR_LNC008315)". The record is from RNAcentral. Lineage: Eukaryota; Viridiplantae; Streptophyta; Magnoliopsida; Poales; Poaceae.